This 261-nucleotide ribosomal RNA is filed under the name uncultured bacterium. Its description in RNAcentral is "partial 16S ribosomal RNA". The record is from RNAcentral.
CUGCUGCCUUCCGUAGGAGUCUGGGCCGUGUCUCAGUCCCAGUGUGGCCGUCCGCCCUCUCAGGCCGGCUACUGAUCGUCGCUUUGGUAGGCCGUUACCCUGCCAACUGGCUAAUCAGACGCGGGCCCAUCCUGUACCACCGGAGUUUUCAGGGAAAAGCCAUGCGGCUUCCCCCGUUAUGCGGUAUUAGCACCUAUUUCUAAGUGUUAUCCCCCUGUACAGGCCAGGUUGCCCACGCGUUACUCACCCGUCGCACUCAUG